RNAcentral lists this ribosomal RNA (1314 nucleotides) under Abrota ganga. Its description in RNAcentral is "16S ribosomal RNA". Lineage: Eukaryota; Metazoa; Arthropoda; Insecta; Lepidoptera; Nymphalidae. The record is from RNAcentral.
GGGGUAAAAUUAAUAAAUUAUAAAUAAUAAAAAAAUUUAAUAUUAGGGGUAUUAAAGUAUUUUUUUAGAAAAAAUAUAAUUUUUAUAGUUAAUUAGUAUUGUAAAAUAAUUUUGAAAUAAAUGAAAAUAAAUUAAUUAAAAAGUAAUUUUUAAUUAAUGUAUCUUGUGUAUCAGAGUUUAUUAAAAAAUAUUUUUUUUAAAAAAAAAUCUCGAAUUUAAAAGGGUUAAUUAAUUAAAAAAUUUAAUGUUGAAUAAUUAUUUUAAAUAAUUAAUUAGAAAUGAAAUGUUAAUCGUUUUUAAAUAUAUCUAGUUUAUUUAGAAAUAAAUUUAAUUUAAAAUUUAAAAAAUUUUAUUAUAAUUUAUAAAAUAAUAAAAUUUUAAAAUUAAAUAUAUUAAGGGAUAAGCUUUAGUAUAAAAUUUUAUAAUUAAUUCAAAAUAAUAGUAAAAAUUUUAAAAUUUAUAUUGUUUAAAAAUUUUAAUUUAUUAUAAAAAAUUUUAUUUUUAUUAAAAUUUAAAUAAAUUUAAUUUUUUAUAAAUAAAUAAUUUUUAAUAAAAUAAAAUUAGAAAUAAUGAUAAAAUUAGUAUAUUAAGUUAAAAAUGAAAUUUAUUUAAUUAUAAUUAAAUAAAAGGAAUUCGGCAAAUAUUUAUAUUCACUUGUUUAUCAAAAACAUGUCUUUUAGAAAAUAAUUUAAAGUCUAAUCUGCCCACUGAUAGAAUAUUAAAGGGCUGCAGUAUAUUGACUGUACAAAGGUAGCAUAAUCAUUAGUCUUUUAAUUGAAGACUUGUAUGAAAGAUUUGAUGAAAUGUAAACUGUCUCUAAUUUAUAUUAUAAAAUUUAAUUUUUUAGUUAAAAAGCUAAAAUUUAUUUAAAAGACGAGAAGACCCUAUAGAGUUUUAUAUUAAAAUUAUUUAAGAUUAUAUUUAUAAAUAAAAAUUAAAAAUAAUAAAAAUAUUUUGUUGGGGUGAUAAAAAAAUUAAAAUAACUUUUUUUAUAAUAAUACAUAAAUAAGUGAAAAAUUGAUCCAUUAUUUAUGAUUAAAAGAAAAAAUUACCUUAGGGAUAACAGCGUAAUAUUUUUUUUUAGUACAAAUAAAAAAAAAAGUUUGCGACCUCGAUGUUGGAUUAAGAUAAAAUUUAAAUGCAAAAGUUUAAAAUUUUGAUCUGUUCGAUCAUUAAAAUCUUACAUGAUCUGAGUUCAAACCGGUGUGAGCCAGGUUGGUUUCUAUCUUUAAAAUUUAAAAAUAUUUUAGUACGAAAGGAUCAAAUAUUGUUAAUAAUUAAAUUUAAAUUGAAUAUUAAUAAUUUAAUAUUAUA